CCCAUGAUUUGUGCACAUUGUGCCCAACUCAUCCCACAGGCCUUUGAGUUUGUUAAAAUAUGAGGCUACAUCUAAACAGCCUUGAGAUGUGUGAGAAAGUUCCCUUUUUAAUUCAAAAAUUUUGGUCUUGUUAGCAGUACCAUAUAUUUUCUCAAUUUGGGACCAUAUACUCUAUGCAGUAUCAGAAUACUACACACUAUCGGCAAUCUGAGGAGAUAGAGAAGUAGUCAACCAGGAAAUGACCAUGUUAUUACAUCUAUCCCACAGCCUCUGUUCAGCCACAUUAGU
RNAcentral lists this long non-coding RNA (288 nucleotides) under Nicotiana benthamiana. RNAcentral describes it as "long non-coding RNA (NBEN_LNC005957)". Lineage: Eukaryota; Viridiplantae; Streptophyta; Magnoliopsida; Solanales; Solanaceae. The record is from RNAcentral.